RNAcentral lists this long non-coding RNA (2603 nucleotides) under Capsicum annuum. Its description in RNAcentral is "long non-coding RNA (CANN_LNC013957)". The record is from RNAcentral. Lineage: Eukaryota; Viridiplantae; Streptophyta; Magnoliopsida; Solanales; Solanaceae.
AGACACAAAAAUGGGUUGUUUCACAGUUUUAAAAUGUAAGAAGAAGAAGUCCGAACAGAGUAUCCACAUCAAACGUGUGAAUCCUCAGGAGCAUUCUCCUACUGCAUUGCCCGUGCCCCAAGUGCAGACACGGUCAUUGCAGUCAGCACCUCCAAGUUUUAGAACUAGAGUAAAAUCUAUACAGUCGAAUAACAGAGUUACAAGCAGUAGGACACGGGCACUCUCAGCCCCAUCUAGCCUGGACGCAACAGAACAAAAUGCUCUAGCAUCAAAUGAAUGCGAGGAACAGGACGAGUUCAGGAGUCGUGUUGGUUCAAUCAAGGAAUACCAAUCACCAAGUCCUCAGCCUCUUCCCCUUCCAUCUCCACAGAGUGCUGCCACUCUCAAAACUAUGGGAAGCUUUAAAGUUGGCAAUGCCAGCGGUCCGCUAAAUGUCUCUGGACCGCUGCCGCUGCCUCCUACUCUGCCUUCAACAUUGCCUUCUACUGGAGCACUCAGGAACUUCUCAUUUGAAGAAGUUGCUGCUGCCUUCGUCUAUCGCAACAGAUGAACGAUCUGUUAGAUUGUUCAUCUGUUGCAUCAGAUUUCAUACUUGCAUCAGAUUUUAAUCUGGUGCAUCAGAUAUUUUCAUCAGUUGUAUCAGAUGUCUUCAUCUGUUGUAUCAGAUAUUUCAUCUGUUGCAACACUAUUUUUACCCAAACAAACAACAAAUCAACCCAGCAACACCAACACAUCAUACACACACACUAAGAAGGGGUCUCCACUAAGAACAUCAACUGUGAACAAAAAUCACCAACAAAUUCGAAUCAACAGUACGACAACAACAAGAAGAAAUGCCAGAAAUUAGGGUUUUAUUUAGUCCAUAUUUCAAUACUAGAAGAGUAGUUAGCUCAAGUUCCUCUGUUUCUUCGUAAUAUUUUACCUGUGAAAAAAGAAAUGAGACGACGAAGAACUCGAAAUUAUUGUCGCCGGAAAAGUCUUCACAUUAAUUGACGGUUGAAAGUCGAAAGGGAACUCGCUCGACUAUUUUUCAUUGGAGAUUGAAGUCACCGGAGAUUGAAGGGAGAAUUUUGCAGAACUGUUGGUUUGGAGAGAAUUGAGAGAAGUUAUCGAGAGAAAGGAAAAAGACUGAUUGAUUUGGAUUGAAGAAGAAUGUGAAUUGAUUUAUAUUUUUAAAAAAAUUAAAAAAUUUUUAAAAUAUUAAUUAAAUCUAUAAUUAACUUGAUUAAAUUUUCUAAUGAUACUGAUCCUUUAAAUUAAUCAAUGUUACCAAUGUUUCAUUCAAUACUUAAAACACACCUUUCCUUCUCGAGUGUCUUUUGUGAUGUGGUAUGUGGAGAUAACAAUAAAGGGGCAUUUACCCAUACUCGGGUUUUGGUUGGUUUUGAGUGUUUGACUAUUGCUUCUUGUACUCCAUUUCUAUGAACUCUCUUCUCUGUCUCUCUCUCUCAAAAAUAAAUCUGCCGUUCCUCAUUUGUUUUCAUUUGACUCGUCUUUAGGGUUUCUUAGCUAAUCAAGUCAUCAACAGAUUUCGAAAUUCCAUUACUUGGGGUUUAUUCUAACCUCAAAAAAUCAGUAAAAAGUUCGAAACAUUAAGCUUAGAGCAGCUCAAACAUCAACCAAUACAAUUUACUGUGUGGCAUUUUUUCAAGGUUCGCUUUUUCAUUCUUCUUUUGUUCUCAGUUCUGUGAAUUGAUAAUUCAGUUAGAUAUUCUGAAUCCUUGUCGUUGCCUGAGAUCUUUGUGUUGGCUGUUUAGAUUGGUUUAUCAUUAUUUCUGCUUUUUCAAAAAAAAAAGAAAAAAAAAAAGAACUUUCUAUUGGAUCAUCCCAUUCAAUUUGAAUGUCAUAUUCAGAAGAACAAUUUUGGCCUUUAUCUUAUUUGAAAAUUCAACAAUUCUUAUAUUAAAUGCCAGUACAUCUUAAUUAUUGAUUUAUCACCUUAUGUUUUGUUGAAAUUUAGAUAAUUUUAUUUAUUUAAUUAUCCGUUUGUUCUCUUGCUGAUUUUGUGCUUCUCGUGUGUUUGAAACCUAGGAACUUAUAACUGCUAACAGUUGACUAUUUAAUUCUGUAUCGUUGAAAUUGGGAAAAGCAUAUUUAUUUAUAUACCCUACUUCAGACAAAAUAAUCACUCUCUGUGGUAAAUUCAAUGAUACAAUUCUAUUAUAUUGGAUUUAUGUAGUAGUCUAGAUUUGAUCAUUUGUAACACAAUGAUGUUAAAAUAGAAAUUGAGUUGUGUUAUAUUUCACAAUGGAAUCAUGAGUAUUUUUAUCAUACACUGAUUUGGCAGGACUGUAUAAGCCAGUGUAGACACAAAAAUGGGUUGUUUCACAGUUUUAAAAUGUAAGAAGAAGAAGUCCGAACAGAGUAUCCACAUCAAACGUGUGAAUCCUCAGGAGCAUUCUCCUACUGCAUUGCCCGUGCCCCAAGUGCAGACACGGUCAUUGCAGUCAGCACCUCCAAGUUUUAGAACUAGAGUAAAAUCUAUACAGUCGAAUAACAGAGUUACAAGCAGUAGGACACGGGCACUCUCAGCCCCAUCUAGCCUGGACGCAACAGAACAAAAUGCUCUAGCAUCAAAUGAAUGCGAGGAACAGGACGAGUUC